This 148-nucleotide non-coding RNA is filed under the name Gorilla gorilla gorilla (western lowland gorilla). Lineage: Eukaryota; Metazoa; Chordata; Mammalia; Primates; Hominidae. The record is from Rfam by way of RNAcentral.
GCCAGGCGUGGUGGCGGGCGCCUGUAGUCCCAGCUACUCGGGAGGCUGAGGCAGGAGAAUUGCUUGAACCCAGGAGGCGGAGCUUGCAGUGAGCCGAGAUCGCGCCACUGCACUCCAGCCUGGGCAACAGAGCAAGACUCUGUCUCAA